UAUGGAAAAAAGUGUGGUCCCGCAUGUGUGAUAACUUGAAUGAAGUUGAACCGAAUAGGAAGAAUAAAAGAGUGGGGUUGACUGAAGCGGACACUUGUCGGAAGCUCGGAAGCUUGCCGGUCAACUUAUGUAAUAGACGGGAGAAGAGAAGACGGGUCCACCCUCUCGCCUUCCUAAUUAGCCGU
Caenorhabditis elegans is the source of this 185-nucleotide non-coding RNA. NCBI's taxonomy places the organism in Eukaryota, Metazoa, Nematoda, Chromadorea, Rhabditida, Rhabditidae. The record is from Ensembl.